CGGAGGGUGCAAGCGUUAUCCGGAUUCACUGGGUUUAAAGGGAGCGUAGGUGGGCUGGUAAGUCAGUGGUGAAAUCCCCGAGCUUAACUUGGGAACUGCCAUUGAUACUAUUAGUCUUGAAUAUUGUGGAGGUCAGCGGAAUAUGUCAUGUAGCGGUGAAAUGCUUAAAGAUGACAUAGAACACCAAUUGCGAAGGCAGCUGGCUACACAUAUAUUGACACUGAGGCUCGAAAGCGUGGGGAUCAAACAGGAUUAGAUACCCUGGUAGUCCACGCCCUAAACUAUGGAUACUCGACAUACGCGAUACACUGUGUGUGUCUGAGCGAAAGCAUUAAGUAUCCCACCUGGGAAGUACGAUCGCAAGAUUG
Molecule: ribosomal RNA, 368 nt
Filed under: uncultured organism
Description: bacterial SSU rRNA
Rfam family: Bacterial small subunit ribosomal RNA
Source: RNAcentral